RNAcentral lists this long non-coding RNA (2783 nucleotides) under Sus scrofa (pig). RNAcentral describes it as "lncRNA (ENSSSCG00060020039.1)". The record is from RNAcentral. Lineage: Eukaryota; Metazoa; Chordata; Mammalia; Artiodactyla; Suidae.
AAAAAAAAAAAAAAAAGGAGUUCCCGUCGUGGCGCAGUGGUUAACGAAUCUGACUAGGAACCAUGAGGUUGCGGGUUCGAUCCCUGCCCUUGCUCAGUGGGUUAACGAUCCAGCGUUGCCGUGAGCUGUGGUGUAGGUCGCAGACGCGGCUCGGAUCCCGUGUUGCUGUGGCUCUGGCAUAGGCCGGUGGCUACAGCUCCGAUUCGACCCCUAGCCUGGGAACCUCCAUAUGCCAUGGGAGUGGCCCAAGAAAUGGCAAAAAGACAAAAAAAAAAAAAAAAAAAAAAAAAAAAAAAGAACUUAAUUUCUCCCAGAUUUCUACAUUAUCCUGGACUUCUACUCUGUGAACUCCAGAGUCAGCAGUUAGCUGCCUAUUUGACAUUACCAGUUAAAUAUUUAAUAGGAAAUUUUGAUUAAAUAAAAAAAGAUCUCCUGAUGUUCUACCCUCAAAUCCAUUUCUCACACAGUCUUUACCAUAUCAAACAAUUGUAAGUCUAUUUUUCAAGUUGAGUGAUAAUAAUGGACUGAAGUGGAUUGGUGCCCUGGAGGAUGUGGAGAGGGAGGGUUGAGAAGAGAAAAGACUGAAAUAUUCUGUUCUAGUUUUCUUCUAAAUUUGUUUGAAUAUUAGGCAGAUAUGCAUAAGCUUAAAUUUAAACCUAUGUAGCACCAACUUCUGAAACACUGUCAGUAUUUCUCAAUAAAAAUAAUUUCUAAAUUUAUGUGAAAAUGAUAUAGGUGAGUUACAAAAAUCCAGUUUCAAAAUAUUAUGCUUAUUUACAUUAAAAAUACUACCCAGUGAUAAAAUGUUUGAAGCAUUAUCUUCAGGAACAAGAUGAGGAUGUCUGUGCUUCAUCUAGUUCAACAUACUGAAACUCCUAGAUGGCAUGCUAAGACAAAAAAAAGUAAUAAAAAUAUAAGGGUUGGAGUGAAAGAAACAAAACUUUUUCAUAAAUGUCUUACCUACAUUAAGCCCUCCAAUUUUCUACAGAUAAAUUAACUGAAUUAAGAGACUGACAAUUUUGCUGAAUGAAAAAUCAAUAAGUAUCAAAAAGUCAAUUGUAUUUCUAUCAACCAAAAUAGAUCUAGAAAAUAUAAUUUUUCCAUGGAUAAACAGACUAAAUACUCUAAAGAUAUCAUUUUUUCACAAAGCUAUCUAAAUAUUCAAUGCAGUUUCAGUCAUAAUCUCAACAAAAAUUUUAAAAUUUUCUUGGCCGUCUUUCUUCCAUAUAAAAUUAUUAGUGAAGAGGAUGCAUAUAAUACAUUAAAGACAAAUAUAAAGACAAAACUCAAUUUUGAAACAAUAAAGAAUAUUAUUUUUAUGCUUAUGCAAAAGGGGCAGAUUUAUUCAAUGACAAUGUGAGCCACAGGGAGUUCCCUCAGUUCAGCAGUUUAUAAACCCGACUAGGAUCCAUGAGGACACAGGUUCAAUACCUGGCCUCUCUCAAACCUAGAAGGUGUUUAUAACACAGCCACCAAAAUGUUUAUGUCUAGAACAUACAAACAACUCCCAUAAAUUAAGAGAAUGGAAAAAAAUGAAACAAUACCCCCCAAAUGAACAAAACAGGAAAAAACAUUUCACACAGGAGGAUACAAGAAAGAAAAGAUGCUCAAACUCAUUAGCAAUCAUAGACCUGAAAACUAAAACACAGUGGGACACCUUAUCACAUGUUCUGGGCCCACGAAUUAUUAAAUAUAUGACAUGGCUAAGAGUUUGUGAGGAUGAGAAGCAACAGAAUCUCAAACACUGCUCUUGGAGAGUACAUUAAUGCAGAACUAUGGCGUUAUCUAACAAAGUUGAAAAAAACAUACCCUCUGGCCCAGUAUUACCAGUUCUAUAUAAUAUAUCUUAGAGAAAAUUUUGUACAUGUAUACCUUGAGACAUGAAUGAGAAUAUUCAUGACUUUAUUUUCAACAGCAACCAACUAUAAACAACCCGUGUUCAUCAGAGGAAGAUAAAUAAUUGUGAAGCAUUCAUAUGAUAGAACACUAUGACAGUGAAAAUAAAUGAACAGUUUUGUGCAACAGAAUGGAUAAAUCUCAGAAUGGUGAUUAAAAAGCAUGUCACACUAGGGCACAUACAGUACAAUGCCAUUUUUAAAAAGUUCAAACCCACCAAUAUCAAAACAUAUGUUAUUGAGGGUUAAGUUAAAAUAUAUGGAUAAAAGCAAGGGAAUGAAACAUAACUUAGAUCAGUGUUUGUCUCUGGAGUGGGUUGGGAAAUGUUAUCAGGGAGACUUCACUAAAGAAUAAUGGUCUAUUUAAGAUAUUAUGGGUGCAGGAUGUCCAUUUGAAAUUCUUUAUAACUUACCUAAUUAUUGCACAUAUAACUUACCUAAGCAUUUCAUAUAUUCUCUUAUAUAUUACUUAUAUAUAUAUGUAGUAACACCAUUUGGUCUUAAGUUAGGCCAAAUAUCAUGUUUUGUUAUAACAAUUGAUUACUACUUAAAUGUCCUGUUGAUUAUAGUCUCAGGCAAGAGGAAGCUAGGAUUCACUUAGGGUAGCCCAUUUACCUGAAGCCACAUUCCAAACCCCUCAUUUUCUCAAAGUGCUAGGUGAGGAUAUCAUGCCAGGUAUCUUCCCCUUGCUCAUCCACCCUUCUCUGCUUUGCUCCCUCUCAUGGGAGGGUGACCUAUAGGGACUACAUGAAUGCUUUCCAUUUCACACAGUGAAAUUUGACUUCCAUUUGACUUCUGGUUGGUUCUGGCUGAUGGAGAGCCCUAAAAGCUGAUUGAAUGGAGGAACAAUAGUGAAAUUGAGGUAUUCAUAAUACCUUUCAUUCUUUC